UCCACCCCCUUCUGCCUCCCAAAGUGCUGGGAUUACAGGCAUGAGCCACUGCUCCCAGCCAAAAUAAUAUUUCUUUCUAUCACAAAAGUAUGCUGAUUUUAGGUGAUUUUGAAAAUAAAAACAAAAAGAUGACUAACAUAGCAAUCGCUACUCACUUUUUGUGAGAUUUUUCUAGAUUUGUUUUAUUCUGCAACAUUUACAUAUUUAAGGACAUAAUGCUUUUAAAAUAAAUAUUAUGUGUUGACCAAUUUCCCCUGGCAUUAAAUCUCUUAAAAAACACAAUUUUCACUGUUACUUAAUAUUCUGUCAGUUAUGUUUGACCAUUCAUCUACGAUUAGGAAUCCACACUGACUCUACGUCUUCCCCAAAUAACACGUGGGCGAAUACCCUUUUACUUCCGGUAUCAGGCCAGAUAGUACUUACCAGCAAUUUGCCUGAAAACACUGAAUUUGGUCUUCAAGAAGCCUACUCGCAUCCUAGAGAUUUUUUAUUAGAUGCCUGAGGAAGGAUGUCUUACCUCUUUCUCAGCGAAUAUGUGGAAAAUAGCAACUAGGUAAUGGCCAGGGAGGCGAAGUCUGAAGUUGGUGUGAAUACGGCAUAUCGUUUUAGGAAAAAGGAGUCGCUUCCCUUAAAGUCAAAGUGUUAUUAAGAGAUCCGCUUCUCAAACUGCAGCAGGGCAGUUUCGUGGGGGAGAGCGGUAAUGUAUGUUGGUGGUGGAGUUUCACUAGAAUUGAGAGAUACACCUGGACCCUGUGUGGGUUGGGUAAUGUCGCUUUAGAGCGAAGGUUUUCUUCUUCCGAGUGGCUCUGAGGGAGAGCAGGUGGCUGCAGACUCUCAGUCCUGUGUUAGGGCGCGUUUCUUAAUCAUUCACCGAUUAAAUAUGUGACCUUGGGCAAAUCACAUAUCACUGCAUUGAGACCCGGUUUCUUAUCUGGAAAUUAAUCAGCAUUAAAUAUUUUAUGGUUCUCUGAGUGUUUCUUUGAGAGUUUUUCACUCUAGUUAACGGUAUCCCAUGAUGAAGGUUUUAAAAUGGUUUUUUGUUUUAUGGCCAUCUCUUAGAGUUUUUCUAUGUUGCAAAAUAGGAAUUAAGAGAAUAGAGACUUUCAAUUUUUGUUUUAGAAAAAUUGUAGUGUUGCUUUCUUUUUCAAAUGCAAGUGCUAUUAAAUUGAUUUCAGUUCAUAAUCUAGGGAAUAUCUUAUAAGUAUUCUCAGAACACUAUAAAAAUAUGCACUUAACUCUCUAGCAUGUUUUAAAUUACCCAGGACUUUUCUUGUUAAGAUUUAGAUAUGUACUAGUCUUGAAUUCUAAAAGAUUACAAAUUGUUGAAAAUCAUUUUCAUCUUCAUACAGCAAAUGAAUGGAGCAGAGUCCAUGUCUGCUUGAUGGAUGGCAUCCUCAUCCCAGGGCCUCGUGUUGAACAGGUGCCUAAUAAAUGCUUCUUAAAUAAGUGAAAAUGCAGAGACAUGUUUUUAAAUUUAAAAAAUAAGCUCUAUGCUUUCUUACCUUUUUUCGUAAAAGCAAAACGAGAUUUAAAAACCUCACAUAGAAUAACAGGAUCAUUCUCUCUGUUACCACGUUCCAAAGAUUGCCUUCAUUUUAAUUAAAAUCCAAGUG
Molecule: long non-coding RNA, 1613 nt
Organism: Sapajus apella (tufted capuchin)
Lineage: Eukaryota; Metazoa; Chordata; Mammalia; Primates; Cebidae
Exons: 2
Source: RefSeq, a predicted model, not a curated record